CCCUUAGAUGUUCUGGGCCGCACGCGCGCUACACUGUUCGACGCAGCGAGUCUUAACCUUGACCGAAAGGUUUGGGUAAUCUUCAGCAAAGUCGAACGUGAUGGGGAUCGAUCAUUGCAAUUAUUGAUCGCGAACGAGGAAUUCCUAGUAAGUGCAAGUCAUCAGCUUGCGCUGAUUACGUCCCUGCCCUUUGUACACACCGCCCGUCGCUACUACCGAUUGAAUGGUUUAGUGAGAUCUCUGGAUUGACGCUGGCUAGGGGGCGACCCUUGGCCAGACUGUUGAGAAACUGCUCAAACUUGAUCAUUUAGAGGAAGUAAAAGUCGUAACA
RNAcentral lists this ribosomal RNA (331 nucleotides) under uncultured eukaryote. RNAcentral's name for it is "partial 18S ribosomal RNA". It matches the Rfam family "Eukaryotic small subunit ribosomal RNA", at positions 1470 to 1796 of the family's 1831-position model. The record is from RNAcentral.